UACAGAGGGGGCAAGCGUUAUUCGGAAUUAUUGGGCGUAAAGGGCGCGUAGGCGGCCUGGCAAGUGGAAGGUGAAAUCCCUCGGCUUAACCGAGGAACUGCCCUCCAAACUGCUUGGCUUGAGUCCGGGAGAGGUGAGUGGAAUUCCCAGUGUAGCGGUGAAAUGCGUAGAUAUUGGGAGGAACACCUGUGGCGAAAGCGGCGCACUGGACCAUAACUGACGCUGAUGCGUGAAAGCUAGGGGAGCAAACAGG
Molecule: ribosomal RNA, 253 nt
Filed under: uncultured bacterium
Lineage: Bacteria
Description: partial 16S ribosomal RNA
Rfam family: Bacterial small subunit ribosomal RNA
Source: RNAcentral